CCCUUAGAUGUCCUGGGCCGCACGCGCGUUACACCGAUGCAUUCAACGAGCAUAUAACCUUGGCCGAGAGGCCUGGGUAAUCUUGUUAACAUGCAUCGUGAUAGGGAUAGAUUAUUGCAAUUAUUAAUCUUGAACGAGGAAUUCCUAGUAAUCGCAGUUCAUCAAACUGCAAUGAUUACGUCCCUGCCCUUUGUACACACCGCCCGUCGCACCUACCGAUUGAAUGGUCCGGUGAGGACUCGGGAUUGUGGUUUAGCUCCUUCAUUGGGGCCUGACUGCGAGAACUUGUCCGAACCUUAUCAUUUAGAGGAAGGUGAAGUCGUAACA
RNAcentral lists this ribosomal RNA (327 nucleotides) under uncultured eukaryote. RNAcentral describes it as "partial 18S ribosomal RNA". It matches the Rfam family "Eukaryotic small subunit ribosomal RNA", at positions 1470 to 1796 of the family's 1831-position model. The record is from RNAcentral.